Molecule: non-coding RNA, 73 nt
Organism: Trichonephila clavipes
Lineage: Eukaryota; Metazoa; Arthropoda; Arachnida; Araneae; Nephilidae
Source: the annotation of a GenBank genome assembly
GUCCCUGUAGAGUAAUGGAUAGCGUGUUGGACUUAUUAUCCAGAAGUCGUAGGUUCGAAUCUUACCUGGGAUG